RNAcentral lists this ribosomal RNA (437 nucleotides) under uncultured bacterium. RNAcentral describes it as "partial 16S ribosomal RNA". It matches the Rfam family "Bacterial small subunit ribosomal RNA", at positions 29 to 507 of the family's 1533-position model. The record is from RNAcentral.
AGCGAACGCUGGCGGCAGGCUUAACACAUGCAAGUCGAGCGGGCAUCCUUGUGGUGUCAGCGGCAGACGGGUGAGUAACGCGUGGGAACGUGCCCUUCGGUUCGGAAUAACUCAGGGAAACUUGAGCUAAUACCGGAUACGUGCGAGAGCAGAAAGGUUUAUCUGCCGAAGGAUCGGCCCGCGUCUGAUUAGCUAGUUGGUGAGGUUAUGGCUCACCAAGGCGACGAUCAGUAGCUGGUCUGAGAGGAUGAUCAGCCACACUGGGACUGAGACACGGCCCAGACUCCUACGGGAGGCAGCAGUGGGGAAUAUUGGACAAUGGGGGCAACCCUGAUCCAGCCAUGCCGCGUGAGUGAUGACAGCCUUAGGGUUGUAAAGCUCUUUUCUCCGGGACGAUAAUGACGGUACCGGAGGAAUAAGCCCCGGCUAACUUCGUG